RNA transcript from Pyrus x bretschneideri (Chinese white pear), 2573 nucleotides. It is a transcript of the gene named tRNA dimethylallyltransferase 9-like, with no coding region annotated. NCBI's taxonomy places the organism in Eukaryota, Viridiplantae, Streptophyta, Magnoliopsida, Rosales, Rosaceae. The record is from RefSeq and is a predicted model, not a curated record. The transcript has 7 exons.
UCGGAUUCAAACCCUCUUCAUUCGAUAUAAAUUAUUGUAAAAUAACACUUGUAUUAAAAAAAAAAAAUCUCAUGCUUGAUGAACAAGUUUAAGUGUGAUAAGAAACAGAAAUUUAAAAAUAAAAUGAAAUAAAAUAAACAAAAAACACGAUGAAAUGUCCAAUAAGAGUUGAGACCCAAAACCCUCCCUAAACCCGUACGACCGGACACAAAAAUAGUCCAAUCCAAUCCAAACCUGUCUAUUCCUCCCUAACUGAAAAUACGAUAAUCAGUAGCAGUUGUGUCCGUACAUUUUGCCCGCGCGUCCUCAGGACGGCUGGGCUGCUGAUUUUCACUCUCCGCCGGCGGCGUCUGACCACCGCCUGCUCUGUUUCAGCCACCAAGAAUAAAGAGAAGGAGAAGGUGAUAGUGGAAUCUGGGCCCACCGGCUCCGGGAAGACCCUCCUCGCUCUGGAGCUCGCUAAGCGGCCCAAUUUGAGCAAAAAUACAAUACCCAGUUGUUGGUUUUUGUUGUUCUUUGUUAGGAUACUGGGAAAAAGGGGAGGAAACUGGGAAAAUUUAGCUUCUUUCGAACUAAGCGGCAAACGGGGUAGUUGGGUUUUCUCUAGAUUCUAACGUGCAAGUAAUUUAGUUUAUUGGGUAUUUAGUAAUAAACCAUUUUGUUUGGUUGAUGAGAAAAUGUAGGAAGGUAAUAGGUAGAAAGUUGACAUAGUUUUAUACCCGAAAUAAUUGAAUUUGUUUCCUUGAGAAUUUUGACUUGUUCUGGUCAAUUUCGUGAAUCAAGCCUGCCUUCAAUCAGUAAUGCUAAGGCCCCCGCUUAUAGACAUUGCCAUGAUUGAAUUUCCAAUCUACUUCAGUAAAAGCGGGUUUUAUUGGUGUAUGGAUAACAUCACUCUCUCACGAGAACAAAGAAAGCCUUAUGGCAUUGCCUUGAUUGAAUUUCCUUUUGCUGACGCUUGUAGAAUUAAUAGGUAGUGCCGUAUUGUCGAAGUGAAUUUGUUUGUUUUGGCUUUUGUGCCACAGGUAUAUUGGGGUCUUGAUAUUGGAUCUGCCAAGCCUUCGCCAGCAGAAAGAGAGGUGCUUGUGUAAUUGAGAAAUUUGUACAUUUGGUGCAGGCAUGAUUCUACCAUUGUAAUUGAAUUAUGGAAUAAUACAUAUGGAGUAACUCUACCGUAUAGGUUUACUCAUCCGAUUCUCCAUUUUUUUUCAGUCUAGUGGAUCACCUCCAUCUGCAUUUCAAGUGCCAUAUGAUUCUUUCCGGAAACAGUGUGAUGCAAAUGACGCUAGUCCUUCAACUGAUGUUGUGGAGGAAGUAAAAUCAAAGGAAUUGGACUAUGAUUUUAUUUAUCUUUUCCUCUCAAUCAAAAGAGUUGAUCGUUAUAAAUCAAUUGACUACCGAUGUCAAGAUAUGCUAUCAGGAAAUGAUGAUAUCUUGUCGGAAGCUAAUUGGCUUCUUGAUUCGGGUCUUCUUCCAAAUUCAAAUUCAGCAACCAGAGCAAUUGGUUACAGACAAUCUAUUCAUCAGCAAAAGGAGGUUCCAACUUUCCGUGCAUGUUUGUGUCAAAAACCUGGUGCGACAAUGAGAGCUUAAUACUCCUUGUGGCCUUGCAGAGUAAGAUUCUCACACAUUACAUUCAGUCAUAGAAUUUUUUUUCAAUUUCGUGUGCAGAAAUUUUGCAAAACAGCAGCUAACAUGGUUUCGCAACGAGCAUAUCUAUAACUGGCUGGAUGCUUCCAAACCCUUGUGCUCGACUUCAUUUAUGAUGCAUACCAUGAUAACACCGAAAAUUUGGUUGUGCGUGAAUCACUGAGGAUGAAGAAAGAAUUAACAAGCCAUCGAGAAGUUGCCGAACUAAAGGCUUAUCGACCCAAAAAUAGGCAUUUUAUCAGACACGAAGAUUGUUCAGACAUUCUAGACUGGAUAAGAAAAACACAGUGCUCCAACAACAAAUCGGAACUUGAUCAUUCACUUCAUUGAGGUUCUAUCUUUGCCAAACCAACCAGUGUUACAUGAUCAUCCACUAUUCCACCUGAGUUGUGCUCAGUUUGUCUCUGUCGGAUCAGAAAAUCUCACGAAACAACUCCGGAAAGGUUAGUCUUUGAUGCUCUGGCUUAAACCGGUUGUUCAUGUCUUAAGGCUCGACCGAUGUAUCGCUGCAGCCGGCCGAGGACUACAUCGGAAAUCAUUUUGUGAGAACUCGUCAUUCAACAUAUGGAUUUCAAAGUCUUGACAUUAGCUCUCUGCAGUUGUUAAAAUAGCAUGAAAAGUUUUGAGUUUGAUGGUAAUUUUGUUCACCACUUAAAAUGUCAUAAACUUGUAAUUUAUAGUGAUUUGGUGAAUAAAUCCACAAGAUUACUAAUCGUUUAACAAUGGACAAAGUGCAUGUGGUGCAAUAUCCUAAUUGAUAGGGUGUUGGGUUUCUACUCAUAAGUUAUGGUAUGAAACUCCCUUCUCCUGCCGCUGGUCGGGCAGCGGGUAGGUGUCUAGGCGAGGCCUAGGCAGUUUUUUUAAUUUUAAUUAAAUUUAUUAUCUAACGUAUAAAUAAAUGUCUUUAUAUGUUUACUUAUACCCAA